RNAcentral lists this ribosomal RNA (490 nucleotides) under uncultured bacterium. Its description in RNAcentral is "partial 16S ribosomal RNA". It matches the Rfam family "Bacterial small subunit ribosomal RNA", at positions 29 to 507 of the family's 1533-position model. The record is from RNAcentral.
GUGAACGCUGGCGGUAGGCCUAACACAUGCAAGUCGAACGGCAGCACAGUAAGAGCUUGCUCUUACGGGUGGCGAGUGGCGGACGGGUGAGGAAUACAUCGGAAUCUACUUUUUCGUGGGGUAUAACGUAGGGAAACUUACGCUAAUACCGCAUACGACCUACGGUGAAAGCAGGGGAUUUUCGGAACUUUUCGCUUUGAAUUAACCGAUGUUGGAUUAGCUAGUUGGCGGGGUAAAGGCCCACCAAGGCGACGAUCCGUAGCUGGUCUGAGAGGAUGAUCAGCCACACUGGAACUGAGACACGGUCCAGACUCCUACGGGAGGCAGCAGUGGGGAAUAUUGGACAAUGGGCGCAAGCCUGAUCCAGCCAUACCGCGUGGGUGAAGAAGGCCUUCGGGUUGUAAAGCCCUUUUGUUGGGAAAGAAAAGCAGCAGGUUAAUACCCCGCUGUUCUGACGGUACCCAAAGAAUAAGCACCGGCUAACUUCGUG